AACGCUAGCUACAGGCUUAACACAUGCAAGUCGAGGGGCAGCGGGAUUGAAGCUUGCUUCAAUUGCCGGCGACCGGCGCACGGGUGAGUAACGCGUAUCCAACCUUCCGCUUACUCGGGGAUAGCCUUUCGAAAGAAAGAUUAAUACCCGAUGGUAUCUUAAGCACGCAUGAGAUUAAGAUUAAAGAUUUAUCGGUAAGCGAUGGGGAUGCGUUCCAUUAGGCAGUUGGCGGGGUAACGGCCCACCAAACCUACGAUGGAUAGGGGUUCUGAGAGGAAGGUCCCCCACAUUGGAACUGAGACACGGUCCAAACUCCUACGGGAGGCAGCAGUGAGGAAUAUUGGUCAAUGGGCGAGAGCCUGAACCAGCCAAGUAGCGUGAAGGAUGACGGCCCUACGGGUUGUAAACUUCUUUUGUGCGGGAAUAAAGGAACCUACGUGUAGGUUUUUGCAUGUACCGUAACGAAUAAGCAUCGGCUAACUCCGUGCCAGCAGCCGCGGUAAUACGGAGGAUCCGAGCGUUAUCCGGAUUUAUUGGGUUUAAAGGGAGCGUAGGCGGACGCUUAAGUCAGUUGUGAAAGUUUGCGGCUCAACCGUAAAAUUGCAGUUGAUACUGGGUGUCUUGAGUACAGUAGAGGCAGGCGGAAUUCGUGGUGUAGCGGUGAAAUGCUUAGAUAUCACGAAGAACUCCGAUUG
RNAcentral lists this ribosomal RNA (695 nucleotides) under uncultured bacterium. Its description in RNAcentral is "bacterial SSU rRNA". It matches the Rfam family "Bacterial small subunit ribosomal RNA", at positions 32 to 715 of the family's 1533-position model. The record is from RNAcentral.